GCCGGCGUGGUGAAAUGGCAGACACGAUAGACUCAAAAUCUGUUACAGGCAACUGUGUGUCGGUUCGAGUCCGACCGCCGGCA
RNAcentral lists this transfer RNA (83 nucleotides) under Verrucomicrobia bacterium LW23. It matches the Rfam family "tRNA". From Rfam's summary of the family: Transfer RNA (tRNA) molecules are approximately 80 nucleotides in length. Lineage: Bacteria; Pseudomonadati; Verrucomicrobiota. The record is from Rfam by way of RNAcentral.